Molecule: long non-coding RNA, 426 nt
Organism: Salvia hispanica
Lineage: Eukaryota; Viridiplantae; Streptophyta; Magnoliopsida; Lamiales; Lamiaceae
Source: RefSeq, a predicted model, not a curated record
UAAGAGUCGGUCUAUUACACCGCCUUAUACAUUUAUAUAUAUAAAGAAGCUUAGGUUUGUAAGGGAGCAGAAAAAUAUGGAAGAAAAAAAAAAUAGAAUUGAGGGUCAUAGUGCAGGAGACGGAAUCGGUGUUCAACUAGUUAUCCACCUUAUUUAAGGAAGAUCUAGAGCAACGAAAGUAGAGGCCAAGAUGAUGAUUGGAAGCUUGGCGUCUAUGAAGGCGAAGAUGUGCCAAUUUGAUAUAUUCAUAACAUGUUUCAUUUAGUUCAUUGUAAACCCUAUUCGGUUCAUUUAAAUUCAAUAUUAUGUUUGGAGUGAACAGAUUAUGCUUAGAGUGAAGUAACAACAUGGAGAUAGAUGUGGAAAAAUUAUUGUAAACUUCAAGCGUUCAUGCCCAUUUGUAUGAAAAUGAUAUAGUUCAUAAUA